UUUUGCUGGAAAAUUUCCUAGCCAUGAAACCCAUAAGCCCAUGUGUUGAAAUAUUUCUUGUGGCCAAGAAUUCUUCUUUGGAUCGUGAGCCUCUACCUCUCGCUCGUGUGUGUGUUUGAUGAAGUUCCAAGUCUUAUGUACAUCAUGCAGUUCCAUGAUCAAGAGCUGUUCCUCAGGAGUGAUGUUGCCUCUCCGGACGUCGGGUCGCAGAUAGUUCAGCCACCGGAGCCGACAACUCUUCCCGCAAAAUCAAAACAACACCGACAACAAAGCAAGAAUUAUCCGAAUAGGAGUUUACCUUGCGAAUCAAAUUCCAUAGAGAAGAGCAGGCCAUGAAGAACAGCAAGUGAGGAAAAGAUAGGCCCUUGAAGUUUGAAAAAGCCCAUGAAGAUUCGCCAUUCCAAUCACCUGGAUACAAAAUCUGAUGACAUUUAUCUAAGUUGUAUUCUGUUAUGUUCAAUUUAAGAGCCUACAACUAAUAAUUUUGCUUUAAUAGGUGGAUUUUGAAUUGCAAUUAGUUUAAGUGAUUGGGUUUUCCGGUUUUGUCGGUGCUUGAAACAAUUUUCGUCUUCUUCAUAUCAAUAUAUCUCUAGAGACCGAUAAUUGUAUAAGAAGAAAAAAUGACUCCAAUUACGCCCUAAGUUUUUUUCAUUAA
Molecule: long non-coding RNA, 655 nt
Organism: Syzygium oleosum
Lineage: Eukaryota; Viridiplantae; Streptophyta; Magnoliopsida; Myrtales; Myrtaceae
Exons: 3
Source: RefSeq, a predicted model, not a curated record